Non-coding RNA from Opisthocomus hoazin, 54 nucleotides. NCBI's taxonomy places the organism in Eukaryota, Metazoa, Chordata, Aves, Opisthocomiformes, Opisthocomidae. The record is from Rfam.
CCAAAGGCUUUUUUUUAAAAAAAAAGCCACAACAUCAAAACCAAAAAUAGCUGU